GACGAACCGUGCGAACGUUAUUCGGAAUCACUGGGCUUAAAGCGCGUGUAGGCGGGUCGGAACGUCGGUCGCUGAAAUCCCCCGGCUCAACCGGGGAAGGGGCGCCGAUACGGCCGGCCUCGAGGGACGUAGGGGGGGCUGGAACUUCCGGUGGAGCGGUGAAAUGCGUUGAGAUCGGAAGGAACGCCCGUGGCGAAAGCGAGCCCCUGGACGUCUACUGACGCUGAGACGCGAAAGCCAGGGGAGCGAACGGG
This 254-nucleotide ribosomal RNA is filed under the name uncultured bacterium. RNAcentral's name for it is "partial 16S ribosomal RNA". It matches the Rfam family "Bacterial small subunit ribosomal RNA", at positions 524 to 776 of the family's 1533-position model. The record is from RNAcentral.